Molecule: ribosomal RNA, 460 nt
Filed under: uncultured bacterium
Lineage: Bacteria
Description: partial 16S ribosomal RNA
Rfam family: Bacterial small subunit ribosomal RNA
Source: RNAcentral
CCUACGGGGGGCAGCAGUGAGGAAUAUUGGUCAAUGGACGAGAGCCUGAACCAGCCAAGUAGCGUGAAGGAUGACUGCCCUACGGGUUGUAAACUUCUUUUAUAAAGGAAUAAAGUGAGGCACGUGUGCCUUUUUGUAUGUACUAUAUGAAUAAGGAUCGGCUAACUCCGUGCCAGCAGCCGCGGUAAUACGGAGGAUCCGAGCGUUAUCCGGAUUUAUUGGGUUUAAAGGGAGCGUAGAUGGGUUGUUAAGUCAGUUGUGAAAGUUUGCGGCUCAACCGUAAAAUUGCAAUUGAUACUGGCAGUCUUGAGUACAGUUGAGGUAGGCGGAAUUCGUGGUGUAGCGGUGAAAUGCUUAGAUAUCACGAAGAACUCCGAUUGCGAAGGCAGUUCACUAAACUGCCACUGACAUUGAUGCUCGAAAGUGUGGGUAUCAAACAGGAUUAGAUACCCUGGUAGUC